Molecule: long non-coding RNA, 1078 nt
Organism: Nerophis ophidion (straightnose pipefish)
Lineage: Eukaryota; Metazoa; Chordata; Actinopteri; Syngnathiformes; Syngnathidae
Exons: 3
Source: RefSeq, a predicted model, not a curated record
AGAAGCACAACUAUGAGACGGAUAGAAUCACAUUUCUUUAUCUCUCCUGAAUCCGCUUACAUUCUUCCUCUGUCACUGCAGAACUACCCACCGCCCCCUUUACUCUUAUUGCCAGAAACGAGAGAACGGCAAGAUUCUUUCCUCCAAUUCUCUUUUCAGUCUUUUGUCCAGCUCUUCCGUGGCACUGAAUGUGUCACAGGUCUUUUCUCAGCAUUUCAGGAAAUUCCUCAGUCUGCCAAGGUCAUGCCUGAGAACCUGAGAACCGGAGGGAGGCUGCCUGAGAAGAAUUCCUUUCAUCCGGUCUUGGGGGAAUGAGUAGAAACAGCAAAGGAUUGAUGCCUAAAAAGUAAGCUGGAGCCUAUCCCAGCUGACAGAGUGAGAGGCGAGUGACACCCUGGACACAGAGGAACCUUUUUAUUUUGGCUUUUCAUCCACAUGGCAACAGGGUUCUGGGUGACUUGCCAUGAUAUCUAUAGAGAAAUGAGUUCCAGAGUGGGAAACUCUGACAACGCUACCUUGUCGUUGACAAACAAACCGCUACUUUUUUGGGAACGAUGACGUCGCCGCACUGUCACGUGGCAAGAAGAACGCGAGAAAACCACACUUGCAACAACUGGAAACAAGAACAACAACAAUUUUGAACAACAGAGUUUUGUUUCUUCUGCAGUUUGAUGUGGAAAUCUUUGGGCGCCCCACAAUUCGAUUACGAUUCAAGGGCUACGAUGCCAUUAUAAAUCUAUUGUUUAUGCAUCUUUAAUAUUGUAUAUCAAUAUUAUCUCUUAUAAAUGUAUAUCAAUGAUGUCCAUAAAAGGCUCCUCCUUUGGGUGCUACCAUAUACACAGUAUUGCGUCAUUCAAAUACAACAUUGUGAAGCUGAGCGUCACAGUCUUUUUCAAUCAGUUUAAUUGUUGCUCGUUAUGGUUCUAAUCACAUCUACAGGUGUUUUCAACACCUGAUUGAAAAGACCUUAUUCAAAUUCUGUUCUUAAGAGUUAUGAUCUUCAAGGGGUUGAAUAAUUUUGUCAAUGACAUAUUAAGAAAAAUGACACUGUUUGGUAUGUUACAAAAUAUAAUGUUGU